CAAAUAAGCAUUUUUCUUGGUUUUCGCACCAUAACUUUAGUAUAAGUAAAUAGAAAUCUAUGAAAUUUAAACACAAGGUUUAUGACCAUAAAAAGGAAGGUUGGUAUUGAUUUUGGGAGUUUUGGUCCCAACAGUUUAGGAAUAAGGGGCCCAAAGGGUCCAAAAUUAAACUUUGUUUGAUUUCAUCAAAAUUGAAUAAUUGGGGUUCUUUGAUAUGCCGAAUCUAACUGUGUAUGUAGAUUUUUAAUUUUUGGUCCCGUUUUCAAAUUGGUCUACAUUAAGGUCCAAAGGGUCCAAAAUUAAACUUAGUUUGAUUUUAACAAAAAUUGAAUCCUUGGGGUUCUUUGAUAUGCUGAAUCUAAAAAUGUACUUAGAUUUUUUAUUAUUGGCCCAGUUUUCAAGUUGGUCCAAAUCGGGGUCC
RNAcentral lists this long non-coding RNA (421 nucleotides) under Mytilus galloprovincialis (Mediterranean mussel). Lineage: Eukaryota; Metazoa; Mollusca; Bivalvia; Mytilida; Mytilidae. The record is from RNAcentral.